AUUGAACGCUGGCGGCAUGCUUUACACAUGCAAGUCGAACGGUAACAGGUUAAGCUGACGAGUGGCGAACGGGUGAGUAAUGCAUCGGAACGUGCCCGAUCGUGGGGGAUAACGCAGCGAAAGCUGCGCUAAUACCGCAUACGAUCUGAGGAUGAAAGCGGGGGACCGUAAGGCCUCGCGCGAUCGGAGCGGCCGAUGUCAGAUUAGGUAGUUGGUGGGGUAAAGGCCCACCAAGCCGACGAUCUGUAGCUGGUCUGAGAGGACGACCAGCCACACUGGGACUGAGACACGGCCCAGACUCCUACGGGAGGCAGCAGUGGGGAAUUUUGGAUAAUGGGCGAAAGCCUGAUCCAGCAAUGCCGCGUGCAGGAAGAAGGCCUUCGGGUUGUAAACUGCUUUUGUACGGAGCGAAAAGGUCCUUUCUAAUACAAGGGGCUCAUGACGGUACCGUAAGAAUAAGCACCGGCUAACUACGUGCCAGCCGCCGCCGUAA
RNAcentral lists this ribosomal RNA (493 nucleotides) under uncultured bacterium. RNAcentral's name for it is "partial 16S ribosomal RNA". It matches the Rfam family "Bacterial small subunit ribosomal RNA", at positions 30 to 523 of the family's 1533-position model. The record is from RNAcentral.